UACGUAGGGACCAAGCGUUGUUCGGAUUUACUGGGCGUAAAGGGCGCGUAGGCGGCCAUUCAAGUCAGUUGUGAAAUCUCCGAGCUUAACUCGGAACGGUCAACUGAUACUGUCUUGCUAGAGUACAGAAGGGGCAAUCGGAAUUCUUGGUGUAGCGGUGAAAUGCGUAGAUAUCAAGAGGAACACCUGAGGUGAAGACGGGUUGCUGGGCUGAUACUGACGCUGAGGCGCGAAAGCUAGGGGAGCAAACAGG
This 253-nucleotide ribosomal RNA is filed under the name uncultured bacterium. RNAcentral describes it as "partial 16S ribosomal RNA". It matches the Rfam family "Bacterial small subunit ribosomal RNA", at positions 524 to 776 of the family's 1533-position model. The record is from RNAcentral.